AUUAACCGAAUUUUGAAAUAACCGAAUUACCGAAAACCGAAUUACCGAAUUAUAAAUUCGGUUAUUUCGGAUAAUAACCGAAAUACUGUUCUAUUUUAUCAAACCAAAAAAGAAUCAGUUCAAAUUGGCAAAAUAAAAAUCCUGCAACAAUAUCAAAAUCAAUAAUACUACACUCCAGAAGAUAGUUCCCUGAUUUUUCAUCAUCUGUUCAAUAAACCCAGAUGUCACCUUUAUAUUGCCUUAUCCAAGCAACAUCCAGCAUCAAAAAAAGCAACUCUCCAGAAUCAGAACCCAUAAAGCAAAUCCACCACCACUACUAUAACUGGAGAACUAUCCCUUUUCACAAAACUAGACAAACCCAGGUGGUAAAACUUCACAAACCAAUGACCCAGGUGAUAAAGCAGCAUACUUAACAGUUACCUGUGCACUAAGAGGAGUGUAAUGAUAUGCUUUCAAAAAUCCUACGAUGAGACUACGAAAACUAGCAAGAUAAGCCAGUGCAAAGAGUGAGAGAUUUGAGGGCAGAUCGAGAUCUGAGAUA
RNAcentral lists this long non-coding RNA (541 nucleotides) under Panax ginseng (ginseng). RNAcentral describes it as "long non-coding RNA (PGIN_LNC000799)". The record is from RNAcentral. Lineage: Eukaryota; Viridiplantae; Streptophyta; Magnoliopsida; Apiales; Araliaceae.